Long non-coding RNA from Pangasianodon hypophthalmus (striped catfish), 2635 nucleotides. RefSeq lists it as uncharacterized. Lineage: Eukaryota; Metazoa; Chordata; Actinopteri; Siluriformes; Pangasiidae. The transcript has 3 exons. The record is from RefSeq and is a predicted model, not a curated record.
UACUUAUUUUAACCAAAAACCCUUCAAAAGUUUUCAUUACUUUUGCUUUUGUGGCGCUAAACAUACUCCAUAUUGAACAACAGUGCAGCAGCUGGCAAACUCCGCCCCUCCCCCAACACCACUCACUUUCUGGAAAGUUCUGUGGAUCGGCGCGACGCCAUUUUGUUUUAAUAAUUGACGCUACGCCAUUUUGUUUAAAUAAUUGGCGCCAAUUAUCAGUAGGCUAACAAAACAACAGUUUUGGGUGUGUGUGCUGUCAAUAAUCCUGUACUUCAGCCUGGGUGUGUUUGCAUGAUUGUCCAGCAGGGGGCGGUGUCACUCAAGUCCUCCUGGGAAGUUCGUAUUUACGAGUUGGGAAGUCGUAAUUACAACAUCAGAUUUAUAUAAGUUGUGAUGCAAUGACGGCCAGCGAUCACCAAUUCAGAGGCCCAAGUAUCAGAUCCUGCAAAGGACUCAUGGAACAAAAUCUUCUUUUUUAAACUACAGGAUGUACAUUUAAAAAAAAAAAAAAAAAAGUACAGGUAUAAGCAUGUCACCAAAUGAAAGCUUUCACAUUGUUAAUCGCAUUUAAACUCAUUCAUAAUGUACAAGUUGAACAGACUUUUUAUAAUGAUUACCAGGAAUGUGGAACAGCACCUUUUAUCGUAAUAACAUUAGCUUGUAUAUCAGAUGUUUAUCACAAAGCUGACAUAAAUGUACAUUAGCUUAUAUAUCAGAUGUUUAUCACAGAUCUCACAUAAGUGUUCUUUCAGCUGUAGCCGCCAUUUCUCUCUUCUUUUGUUUGGCUCGUGCCCUCAUGAUUUUUGACUCGGUUCCCCUUCACACAUUAAGCGUUUUGCUGGUACCCUGACUGACGCAACUACCAGCAGUGCUGAUAACUGUUCCACUGCUUGCACAAGUGGCUGAGACACAUCACCGUUUCGAAAGUAAAUGAAUGAGGGAGGGAAAAAAAAACAGCCUCGGUUCUUUAGAGUUCGAACUGGGAUUGUUAUCUUAAUUUUUUCUUAACCACAUAAAAAUCUUUAAUGUGUUAUUGUUUGCUUUGUGUGAAACGUGAUAGAUUGUGUGUUAAUGCAUGCUAAAACACAGGGAUAUCUCAAUCCUUUUUUUUUUUUUUUUUUUGCCCUCGAUAUAGUUAGAUUUAAUGUUGUGGAACAUCUGAGAGACAAGUUAGUUCCUGUUCUCACUUAUGUUAUAGCUGUGAUAAACAGUCAUUCCUUCACCAGCCUUGCUCUUUUUUCCCCUCUUUCUCUCUCACAAUUGAUUCUCUCUCUCUCUCUCUGUCUGUCUCUCUCAAUCUCUCUCAAUCUUGCUCAAAAAAAAAAAAAAAAAAACAGCUUGUAAUUUUAGUAAGAAACUGAAAGUGUAAAAACUGUCCUGCAGACUUUCCUUUGAUAAACUUCACAAGCCACUGUGGCUGUUACAAAGUGCUGACACUGGAGACUCCUUCCAUAAAUGUUAAAUAAAUGUCCCCUAACAAAAAAAAAAAUAUCAUCACAUGAACAAUUAUGAUUUACUUUGUUAAACAACAAGAUUUCAAAUCCAUUUGAUCAUUAUUUUUAGAUUAUCUGGAGCAUCUACUGCACAAGGCCCAGUGUAUGAGCUGUUACUAUAGAAACAAUACCGCAUCAGAACGAGCGCAUUAAUAUAAACCUGGAUUUCACGUUACAGCUGGAGCUACUGUCCGAGCCGUGCUGUUAUACUAAAAUAAUGCACGCCUACUGACCAAUCAGAUUCGAGCAUUCAACCACGCUGUGGUAUAAAACCACAACAACACAACAGUAGUCCACAAACUCUCUAUAUAAUGCACUAGGAGAGUUUUGGUUGCUAAACGGCAUCCAGUGCUCACCCGUCAACGUCACUGUCGUCUGGCGUGUUUCAGUUUUUAUAAUGGCAGGUUAAAGCAGUUGUACUUCUAUGAUAAUUCUCAGAGAACCGUGUAAAAUAUCGAAACGAAAAGAACUGUGUAAAAUAUCGCCUUUCUUCUCCAUCGCAUGAAAAUUACACAGUAAAUAUUGUGUGUAUGAGGAAUAAAUAUGUGUAUAUGAGUGUGUUUGUUAAGUACAGAAGGAUUUUCAGAACCCUGACCUAUAUAGCAACAGUAACUAGGCAUGGAUGGGACUGAGGUUUGGUGACACACACGUUUUUUUUUUGUCUAAAAAUGCAACCAACUAGGUGUGAAUAUAAAUAACAAACAGCAAGUGAGAAGGGAAAUGAGAACAGGAAACGUUGACCAUAUAAGGAAACUAGCAGGAAAGAAUAGGAGUUUGGUGAGUGGCUUAUUUUUAAUUUAAAGUGUGAAAGUUAAAAUAAGUUUCUGUGCGUUUCCGGCUGGAUCAUAUGUACAGGUACGAGCAUGUCAGCAGGUGAAGCAUUUAGUCAGAGGUGCCAUCUUGCACCUGUCUUCAGUCAUUGUGAGCUGAACACGACUUUCAGUUCCUUAGUUUCGUCUUUUAAAUGUGAGAAAAAGUUCUUAAACAGAAGAAAAUGGUGUGAGUUAAUUGGUGAUCGCUAGUAGGUUGUAUUUGAAAAUUCAACAAUGCAGGAAAAUAGUUUAUAUUCUCUAUAUCGUUUAUGUACAGUCUUUUAUAAAUGUAUAUUGAAAGGAAAAACAAAACCAGACAGGAGUUAACCA